AGGAAUAUUGGUCAAUGGGCGUAAGCCUGAACCAGCCAAGUAGCGUGAGGGAAGACUGCCCUAUGGGUUGUAAACCUCUUUUGUGCGGGGAUAAAGUGUGGGACGUGUCCCAUAUUGCAGGUACCGCACGAAUAAGGACCGGCUAAUUCCGUGCCAGCAGCCGCGGUAAUACGGAAGGUCCGGGCGUUAUCCGGAUUUAUUGGGUUUAAAGGGAGCGCAGGCCGUCCUUUAAGCGUGCUGUGAAAUGCCGCGGCUCAACCGUGGCACUGCAGCGCGAACUGGAGGACUUGAGUACGCACGAGGUAGGCGGAAUUCGUGGUGUAGCGGUGAAAUGCUUAGAUAUCACGAAGAACUCCGAUUGCGAAGGCAGCUUACCGGAGCGCAACUGACGCUGAGGCUCGAAAGCGCGGGUAUCGAACAGGAUUAGAUACCCUGGUAGUCCGCGCGGUAAACGAUGGAUGCCCGCCGUUGGGAUUUAGAUUUCAGCGGCCAAGCGAAAGCGUUAAGCAUCCCACCUGGGGAGUACGCCGGCAACGGUGAAACUCAAAGGAAUUGACGGGGGCCCGCACAAGCGGAGGAACAUGUGGUUUAAUUCGAUGAUACGCGAGGAACCUUACCCGGGCUUGAAUUGCAGGAGAACGAUCCAGAGAUGGUGAGGCCCUUCGGGGCUCCUGUGAAGGUGCUGCAUGGUUGUCGUCAGCUCGUGCCGUGAGGUGUCGGCUCAAGUGCCAUAACGAGCGCAACCCCUGUCCAUAGUUGCCAUCAGGUCGUGCUGGGCACUCUGUGGAGACUGCCGCCGUAAGGUGUGAGGAAGGUGGGGAUGACGUCAAAUCAGCACGGCCCUUACGUCCGGGGCUACACACGUGUUACAAUGGGGCAUACAGCGAGUUGGAUGUGCGCAAGUACGUCCGGAUCAAUAAAGUGCCUCUCAGUUCGGACUGGGGUCUGCAACCCGACCCCACGAAGCUGGAUUCGCUAGUAAUCGCGCAUCAGCCAUGCCGCGGUGAAUACGUUCCCG
This 1018-nucleotide ribosomal RNA is filed under the name uncultured bacterium. Its description in RNAcentral is "bacterial SSU rRNA". It matches the Rfam family "Bacterial small subunit ribosomal RNA", at positions 357 to 1376 of the family's 1533-position model. The record is from RNAcentral.